CGACGACAGGUAGGGGUGGGCGCGAGAUAACCGAGGGCGCCUACAGACCGAGUCUCGCUACCUUCAUGAUAGAGAGAGAGGAGAAUGGUAGAUGUUGCCACAGAAAACAGACAAGUGCAGGCGUGCUGUGGGUUCUUGCUUGCUGACUGGACACGAAGCAGUGUUUGUAGCGGUGCCUUGGCCUGCAAAGAAACACAAGAGUGGUGCAUAGGAUCAAAAUUACCAAAACUAUUUUCAGCAGAAACUCUGUGACCUGUCCCCGUUGAUGAUGGAUUCUUUUCGUGUGUCAACAGCAUACAGUAGUGCAACCGUCUCCAACCACAGUUAAAAGGGUGAGAGCUGUUCAGCAAAGCUGAAUUAUGAACAUGACGUCACUUCCGAGGUGUUGCUAAAUUACAACAUUAGCAAACAUUCGUUAAUCUGUACUGAAACAUUUCCUUAACGAUAACAAGGGGAGAGAGAAAAAAU
Pomacea canaliculata is the source of this 468-nucleotide long non-coding RNA. RefSeq lists it as uncharacterized. The transcript has 3 exons. Lineage: Eukaryota; Metazoa; Mollusca; Gastropoda; Architaenioglossa; Ampullariidae. The record is from RefSeq and is a predicted model, not a curated record.